RNAcentral lists this ribosomal RNA (455 nucleotides) under uncultured Mycobacterium sp. RNAcentral's name for it is "bacterial SSU rRNA". It matches the Rfam family "Bacterial small subunit ribosomal RNA", at positions 115 to 584 of the family's 1533-position model. The record is from RNAcentral. Lineage: Bacteria; Bacillati; Actinomycetota; Actinomycetes; Mycobacteriales; Mycobacteriaceae.
ACGUGGGUGAUCUGCCCUGCACUUUGGGAUAAGCCUGGGAAACUGGGUCUAAUACCGGAUAGGACUACGCGAUGCAUGUCGUGUGGUGGAAAGCUUUUGCGGUGUGGGAUGGGCCCGCGGCCUAUCAGCUUGUUGGUGGGGUGAUGGCCUACCAAGGCGACGACGGGUAGCCGGCCUGAGAGGGUGUCCGGCCACACUGGGACUGAGAUACGGCCCAGACUCCUACGGGAGGCAGCAGUGGGGAAUAUUGCACAAUGGGCGCAAGCCUGAUGCAGCGACGCCGCGUGAGGGAUGACGGCCUUCGGGUUGUAAACCUCUUUCACUAGGGACGAAGCGCAAGUGACGGUACCUACAGAAGAAGCACCGGCCAACUACGUGCCAGCAGCCGCGGUAAUACGUAGGGUGCGAGCGUUGUCCGGAAUUACUGGGCGUAAAGAGCUCGUAGGUGGUUUGUC